This 916-nucleotide long non-coding RNA is filed under the name Citrus x clementina. Its description in RNAcentral is "Citrus clementina (C. clementina) long non-coding RNA (CCLE_LNC004630)". Lineage: Eukaryota; Viridiplantae; Streptophyta; Magnoliopsida; Sapindales; Rutaceae. The record is from RNAcentral.
GAGAUCUUGCUCAGUACCCGAAAGUUCAGUAAUAACGUUUGUAGCAUUAAAAGCACUUCAUUUAUCUUUCGCUGAUUAUAAAUAUCACCAAUUUACAGACGUAAUCACACAUAACAAAGAAGUUGGGACUUCGGAGGCAAACGAAGAACAAAAAUAGCCCACCAGGUACCACCCAUGUACAUAUAUAUUAUAGCCAAACAAAAGCUAGCCCCAUUCUGACAAAAUGUAGUGAUUACAGAGGAAUUGUAAUUGCAUAUACAUACACAAGGCAAUGGAUGCAUGCGGACACCGAGGGACAAGUGAUCAUCACCCUCUUCUUGGAAGCAUCGAUGUUAAAGCGAAUUAAUUAAACCUGUAUAAUCUUCGUAUUAGCUAAUUACUUGCGAAGAUCAGCCGCAUGUGACUCCACCAGUAUUGACCACAAUACCUGCACAUCUUCGCAGGGGCACGACUUCACAUCCUUGUAGAGUAUAUACAGCCCUCUACCUGCAAAACACAACGAAUGCAUGCAUGUAAUCGUUUUAAAUGGAGAUUUUGCGAGAAAUCAUGAGAAUGUGAAGAGGGGGAAUUGGUAUUAAUUACGUCUGCGGUGGCUGGAGUGAAGGCGAUCCCAGAGCUUCUUCAAAGGGGAGACGACGAGGGAGUGAAGCCAACCGGCCAUUUGGAGAAGUAGUGUGCGUGUGUUUAAUUCCAAUUAAUGGUUUUGGUAGUAGGUGAGUGGUUGGAAGGAAAUAGAGGGCCGAGCUGAAAGUAUUAAUGGGGGGCAGGGGCUUUUGCUUUGCUUUGAGGAGAGCGAGUGACUUGUAUCUUACUACUGUUCUUCAAUUUGUAUUUCCUUCAUUUGAUCUCUUACAGGGCAAUCAUGCAAGAAAUAAGAAUUUAGAAAUACAUGCCCUCUCUUGGUGCCAUGUCUCUG